CGUGUAGGCGGUUCGGAAAGUCGGAUGUGAAAUCCCCGGGCUCAACUCGGGAACUGCAUCCGAAACUUCCGAACUAGAGUCCCGGAGAGGAAGGCAGAAUUCCCAGUGUAGGGGUGAAAUCCGUAGAUACUGGGAGGAAUACCAGAGGCGAAGGCGGCCUUCUGGACGGUGACUGACGCUGAGACGCGAAAGCGUGGGGAGCAAACA
Molecule: ribosomal RNA, 207 nt
Filed under: uncultured bacterium
Lineage: Bacteria
Description: partial 16S ribosomal RNA
Rfam family: Bacterial small subunit ribosomal RNA
Source: RNAcentral